AGUUUGAUCAUGGCUCAGAUUGAACGCUGGCGGCAUNCNUACACAUGCAAGUCGAACGGCAGCACGGGAGCAAUCNGGUGGCGAGUGGCGAACGGGUGAGUAAUGUAUCGGAACGUACCUUUCAGUGGGGGAUAACGUAGCGAAAGUUACGCUAAUACCGCAUAUUCUGUGAGCAGGAAAGCAGGGGAUCGCAAGACCUUGCGCUGAUUGAGCGGCCGAUAUCAGAUUAGCUAGUUGGUGAGGUAAAGGCUCACCAAGGCGACGAUCUGUAGCGGGUCUGAGAGGAUGAUCCGCCACACUGGAACUGAGACACGGUCCAGACUCCUACGGGAGGCAGCAGUGGGGAAUUUUGGACAAUGGGGGCAACCCUGAUCCAGCCAUGCCGCGUGAGUGAAGAAGGCCUUCGGGUUGUAAAGCUCUUUCAGCCGGGAAGAAAUCACAUGGGUUAAUACCCUGUGUGGAUGACGGUACCGGAAUAAGAAGCACCGGCUAACUACGUGCCAGCAGCCGCGGUAAUACGUAGGGUGCGAGCGUUAAUCGGAAUUACUGGGCGUAAAGCGUGCGCAGGCGGUUUGUUAAGAUAGGCGUGAAAUCCCCGGGCUCAACCUGGGAACUGCGUUUAUGACUGGCAGGCUAGAGUAUGGCAGAGGGGGGUGGAAUUCCACGUGUAGCAGUGAAAUGCGUAGAGAUGUGGAGGAACACCGAUGGCGAAGGCAGCCCCCUGGGCCAAUACUGACGCUCACGCACGAAAGCGUGGGUAGCAAACAGGAUUAGAUACCCUGGUAGUCCACGCCCUAAACGAUGUCAACUAGGUGUUGGGUGGGUAAAACCAUUUAGUACCGGAGCUAACGCGUGAAGUGA
Molecule: ribosomal RNA, 861 nt
Filed under: uncultured bacterium
Lineage: Bacteria
Description: bacterial SSU rRNA
Rfam family: Bacterial small subunit ribosomal RNA
Source: RNAcentral